RNAcentral lists this long non-coding RNA (331 nucleotides) under Phascolarctos cinereus (koala). RNAcentral's name for it is "lncRNA (ENSPCIG00000021960.2)". The record is from RNAcentral. Lineage: Eukaryota; Metazoa; Chordata; Mammalia; Diprotodontia; Phascolarctidae.
CUCAUUAGCCCCACGGGGAGCACCUCCGGGAUGACGGGAUUUCACAGGUCCAGCUGCAAUUAGUUCACUGAAAAGUCUACCGCCUUGCAAGCAGCCAACCGCGGCUAGCUUUAGCUCUUCAUUUCUCCCUUGCAAUUGCAAGCCACUAAUUCAGAGGAGCAACUAUGCCCAAAAGAAAGGCAGCCGUUGAAGGGCAGGUAAAGGAAGAGCCAAAGAGGCGGUCACCUAGAUUAUCUGCUGUAAGUAUUGCCUGUUUUCUCUGGUGAUAACAGCCUGUUUUGUGAGGUGCCAUUUUAAAGAAACCGAACAAAUGAGACGAUCACGUUUAGUG